This 483-nucleotide ribosomal RNA is filed under the name uncultured bacterium. RNAcentral describes it as "bacterial SSU rRNA". It matches the Rfam family "Bacterial small subunit ribosomal RNA", at positions 28 to 507 of the family's 1533-position model. The record is from RNAcentral.
GACGAACGCUGGCGGCGUGCCUAACACAUGCAAGUCGAGCGGAGGCGGAGGAUAGCCCAGCGAUGGGUUGGAGACUGCUUUAGCGGCGAACGGGUGAGUAACACGUGGGCAAUCUGCCCUCUGGAGCGGGAUAACAGACCGAAAGGCUUGCUAAUACCGCAUGAGGCCGUACCCUCGCAUGGGGGGAACGGUCAAAGGGGGAAACCCGCCGGAGGAGGAGCCCGCGUCCCAUUAGCUAGUUGGCGGUGUAACGGACCACCAAGGCGAUGAUGGGUAGCCGGCCUGAGAGGGUGAACGGCCACAUUGGGACUGAGACACGGCCCAGACUCCUACGGGGGGCAGCAGUGAGGGAUUUUCGGCAAUGGGCGAAAGCCUGACCGAGCGACGCCGCGUGAGCGAAGAAGGCCUUCGGGUCGUAAAGCUCUGUCUAGGGGGAAGAGGAACGGACGGUACCCCUCGGAGGAAGCCACGGCUAACUACGUG